CCAAUAGCGUAUAUUAAAGUUGUUGCAGUUAAAAAGCUCGUAGUUGAAUUUCGGGAUCAGAUUGUCGGUCGUGCCUCGGUACGUACUGGCAUUAUUGGUUCCUACCUUCUGAAGAACCGCGAUGUCAUUAAUUUGGUGUCGUGGGGAAUCAGGACUGUUACUUUGAAAAAAUUAGAGUGUUUAAAGCAGGCGCACGCUUGAAUACAUUAGCAUGGAAUAAUGAAAUAGGACGUUUGAUUCUAUUUUGUUGGUUUCUAGGAUCGACGUAAUGAUUAAUAGGGAUAGUUGGGGGCAUUAGUAUUCAAUUGUCAGAGGUGAAAUUCUUGGAUUUAUUGAAGACUAACUACUGCGAAAGCAUUUGCCAAGGAUGUUUUCAUUAAUCAAGAACGAAAGUUAGGGGAUCGAAGACGAUCAGAUACCGUCGUAGUCUUAACCAUAAACUAUGCCGACUAGGGAUCGGAUGAUGUUAAUUUUUUAAUGACUCAUUCGGCGCCUUACG
Molecule: ribosomal RNA, 499 nt
Filed under: uncultured Glomeromycotina
Lineage: Eukaryota; Fungi; Glomeromycota
Description: partial small subunit ribosomal RNA
Rfam family: Eukaryotic small subunit ribosomal RNA
Source: RNAcentral